UACGUAGGGUGCGAGCGUUAAUCGGAAUUACUGGGCGUAAAGCGUGCGCAGGCGGCGCGUUAAGACAGGUGUGAAAGCCCCGAGCUUAACUUGGGAAUUGCGCUUGUGACUGGCGUGCUGGAGUGUGGCAGAGGGAGGUGGAAUUCCACGUGUAGCAGUGAAAUGCGUAGAGAUGUGGAGGAACACCGAUGGCGAAGGCAGCCUCCUGGGCCAGCACUGACGCUCAUGCACGAAAGCGUGGG
This 242-nucleotide ribosomal RNA is filed under the name uncultured bacterium. RNAcentral describes it as "partial 16S ribosomal RNA". It matches the Rfam family "Bacterial small subunit ribosomal RNA", at positions 524 to 765 of the family's 1533-position model. The record is from RNAcentral.